RNAcentral lists this unclassified non-coding RNA (551 nucleotides) under Hevea brasiliensis (rubber tree). Lineage: Eukaryota; Viridiplantae; Streptophyta; Magnoliopsida; Malpighiales; Euphorbiaceae. The record is from RNAcentral.
AGAAUUUCAGCUUCUACAUGUUGCAAGAGAAUUGAUUUUCUAUGCAGAAACUGACAAGCUAGUAAGUGCCUUAGCUGAUAAAAUGAUGAACCUCCUUAUAUUUAAAUUUUAUGGCUAAAGCAUCAUUCUCAUUGUUGUUCUCGAAAACUUAAUGCAGUACCUGCCCUUAGCCUAAUGGAUAUUUUUAGUGUAAACAAUAUGACCAUUGAUCUUCAAAGAGUUAUGUGGAAGCACUUUAGACUCGGAUGAAGUUUUGGGUUUCAAUGUUUUGAGACCUUCAUAUAAUGGCUGCCGUUAUCUGAUGAAAUUAAUGAACAGUUGUAGAUAUUCCUUUUGUAGUGUUGUGUUGAAAGUGUUUCUUUGAACAUUCUAUGCUACAAUUUGGAUGGUUCUAUCUACUUCUGCAAGUGAAAACCCCUGUCCAUCUCAUCUAUCUCUAAAUUGCUGCCAACCUUAUCAUAUUCUUUUCAAAUUUUGAAGUAUUCCUCUAUAAUUACCUCAAAUUGAAGUUUCAUCUCUCUUGCCUGGAGAAGCUGCUGAUUGCAAGGAUU